This 436-nucleotide ribosomal RNA is filed under the name uncultured Oscillibacter sp. RNAcentral's name for it is "bacterial SSU rRNA". It matches the Rfam family "Bacterial small subunit ribosomal RNA", at positions 341 to 792 of the family's 1533-position model. The record is from RNAcentral. Lineage: Bacteria; Bacillati; Bacillota; Clostridia; Eubacteriales; Oscillospiraceae.
ACGGGAGGCAGCAGUGGGGAAUAUUGGGCAAUGGGCGCAAGCCUGACCCAGCAACGCCGCGUGAAGGAAGAAGGCUUUCGGGUUGUAAACUUCUUUUGUGAGGGACGAGAAGAAGACGGUACCUCAUGAAUAAGCCACGGCUAACUACGUGCCAGCAGCCGCGGUAAUACGUAGGUGGCAAGCGUUGUCCGGAUUUAUUGGGUGUAAAGGGCGUGUAGCCGGGUCGGCAAGUCAGAUGUGAAAUCCACGGGCUUAACCUGUGAACUGCAUUUGAAACUGCGGAUCUUGAGUAUCGGAGAGGCAAUCGGAAUUCCUUGUGUAGCGGUGAAAUGCGUAGAUAUAAGGAGGAACACCAGUGGCGAAGGCGGACUGCUGGACGACAACUGACGGUGAGGCGCGAAAGCGUGGGGAGCAAACAGGAUUAGAUACCCUGGUA